UUUAACAUUUCCAAUAAUAUUUAAUUAUAUUUACUACAUUUAUAUUAUGUUUCACGCAGGUAAUGUUACACUUUAAGAUAAUACCGAGUGAGUGCGUAUGGUGAAGAGAACACAAUAAAAACGUCAACCCGAACGUUUGACAGUUAUUUUCUAUUAUUAUUUAUGGAUAAUCCUAUAUCGCUAUUAUAAAUCUACUAAAAAUUAUACCCGACGUUAGG
Non-coding RNA from Cinara cedri, 218 nucleotides. The record is from the annotation of a GenBank genome assembly. Lineage: Eukaryota; Metazoa; Arthropoda; Insecta; Hemiptera; Aphididae.